This 623-nucleotide ribosomal RNA is filed under the name uncultured Verrucomicrobiota bacterium. RNAcentral describes it as "bacterial SSU rRNA". It matches the Rfam family "Bacterial small subunit ribosomal RNA", at positions 74 to 680 of the family's 1533-position model. Lineage: Bacteria; Pseudomonadati; Verrucomicrobiota. The record is from RNAcentral.
UGGUAGCAAUACCGAGAGAAGUUUAGUGGCGAACGGGUGCGUAACACGUGGGCAAUCUGCCGAGAAGUGGGGGAUAGCUCGCCGAAAGGCGAAUUAAUACCGCAUAUGAUCAGGGAAGACAUCUUUCCAACAUCAAAGCCGGGGCAACCUGGCGCUUCUUGAUGAGCCCGCGGCCUAUCAGCUAGUUGGUGAGGUAACGGCCCACCAAGGCGAUGACGGGUAGCUGGUCUGAGAGGACGACCAGUCACACUGGAACUGAGACACGGUCCAGACACCUACGGGUGGCAGCAGUCGAGAAUUUUUCUCAAUGGGGGAAACCCUGAAGGAGCGACGCCGCGUGGAGGAUGAAGGCUUUCGGGUUGUAAACUCCUGUCAUUUGGGAACAAUGCUUUCCAGUUAACUGUUGGAAAGUUGAUAGUACCAGAAGAGGAAGAGACGGCUAACUCUGUGCCAGCAGCCGCGGUAAUACAGAGGUCUCGAGCGUUGUUCGGAUUCAUUGGGCGUAAAGGGUGCGUAGGUGGCGUGGUAAGUCGGGUGUGAAAUUUCGGAGCUUAACUCCGAAACUGCAUUCGAUACUGCUGUGCUUGAGGACUGGAGAGGAGACUGGAAUUCACGGUGUAGCA